This is a long non-coding RNA of Oreochromis aureus, 1789 nucleotides long. Lineage: Eukaryota; Metazoa; Chordata; Actinopteri; Cichliformes; Cichlidae. The record is from Ensembl.
AAUGAUUUGUCUUAACAAACAAAAACAUUUAUCUGAAAAUAGGUAUGAGUACUGGACUGAAAACAGGUUAAAAAAUUUUAAAAAGCAGACAAUGUGCAUAGAAGAACGUUGAAAUACCUUCAAAAACCUGGAGAACUAUUGCUCAAGACCCCCACUAUAAAAUUAAGAGGGUCACUGGAAGCAAAGACUUGCAAAUUAGGAAUGAGUCAGCCCUGUCACGCGGUGUUCAGGUCACUUGAAUCGGGACUUUGGGACAGUGUGGCAGUGUUUGUUGAGAAAGCUUUUCCUAAAAAGGAAAUGUUACUCGCAUUCAGACUAAAGCUGCCUGAAUUUCCCCGAAAGAGAGUGGAAGAAUGACCUCCAAGGUCACAGUUAAAUGCAGGCUUGUUGGUUGCAUGGAAAAGGCGGAAGAGCUUAAAUCAGUGAUGAAGUUCGAGAAGGAUGAGGUCCGGUCUGUCUACAUGUGCGUGCCUCCUCUAGUCUCUGGGGACAUAAGUACUUCAUCCUGGGACCAUAAUGUUUCUGUAGAUUCCCAGUAAAAUCAACCAUCUUAAUAAGACUGCAAUGACAAACAGUUUAGCAGUGAUCAGAACUGAACUCUCUUUUGUCCAGAGAAGGCCACACUUUUCCAGAAUGAUUAUUCUAUUUUGAUUUCAUGCUCUACAAAUAAGAACUUAACACAUCUAAUGGACAGUACUGAAAAACAGUCCAGUAUUUCUGUGUAUGGCUUUUAACUUAGUGUUGCACAAAAGGCUUUUAACCUUCUGAAAUCUAAGCAUUCUCUCUAUAUGAAUAUUUUUAUAACUUUAACACAGCACAGAAAAAUAGUUUCCUUGGUUUGAAACGAGGAUGAUUGACAUAUUGUUAAAGACCCCAAGGUCUCAGUCAAUCCUCUUCAGCUUUUGAUAUUGAAACCCAAUCUCAGGACAAAGAGCAGAACUGUGCUUUUAAUUCCUGGUACACCUAACAGCUGUGGGGAUGACCGCAUGGAUUGUAAUGUCAGAGGUAUAAGUAGCCUUAAAUGGGGCGAGCAGUGUGGUGUGACUCCUCCAAAUGACUGUGGUAUUAAUUCAUCUGUUCAGUGAUACAUGCUUGAUAGAUCACAUCGCGUAUUUCAUUUAAAACCCUAUAAAUAUGAAUUUCUCAUCAUUAUACUCGCACUUUAGGAAAGUUUAGUCUGUGCUUGACAUGGCAUUGUGUGUUAAUUCAGCGCCGUCACAAAGGGGUCGAAGUUAUGUGACCUGUAUUCAAGGUCAAAUAUCCGUGACGACAGGUUGCAUGCAGUGUGUAUCUGUGGCUUCGGCUGUCCGAAACGCUCCACUUGAAGAGAUAGGGCAGAGAGCUGUUGUCUGAGAAUGCAGGCAAUAUGUGUCAACACCAAAUUCAAAUCUGCCACGGAAGGAGACAAUUGAUAAGUGAACAAGCACCCGUGCUCGCAGGGGGAAAUAAAAAUACUAAGAUGAUGACAUGGAUUUAGUGUUCAUGUACUGCUCACCUAUACUGUGUAUCUUUUAGACACAACUGGAGAGCUGAUUAGUUUUUGAUCACGUAGUUUGAAAUCUGACUCCAGUUGUAUGUUACGCAUCUUGUUUCAUGUUUUAAGUUUUUCCAACAAUUUAUAGUCUUCUGAAUGACUUACCUGUCCAGACUUGUACCAUAAAGGGGCCUGAAUUAAAAUAAGUGUUAUCACCUUAUGAAAUUUUUCGUAUUAUUUCUCUUCAAAUCACAGUGUUAUAUAACUCAUUUAUCACUGAGAUGAGCUGAAAUACAAAACAUACAAACACUUUUC